GAGUUUGAUCCUGGCUCAGAACGAACGCUGGCGGCGCGUCUUAAGCAUGCAAGUCGAACGGUAAGGGAGAGCUUGCUCUCCCCUAGAGUGGCGGACUGGUGAGUAACGCGUAGGUGACCUACCCUGAAGAUGGGGAUAGCUAGUAGAAAUAUUAGAUAAUACCGAAUAAGCUCAUUUGCAUAAAGGCAGAUGAGGAAAGGAGCUACGGCUCCGCUUUAGGAUGGGCCUGCGUCCCAUUAGCUAAGUUGGUGAGGUAAAGGCUUACCAAGGCAACGAUGGGUAUCCGGCCUGAGAGGGUGAACGGACACAUUGGGACUGAGAUACGGCCCAAACUCCUACGGGAGGCAGCAGCUAAGAAUCUUCCGCAAUGGACGAAAGUCUGACGGAGCGACGCCGUGUGAAUGAAGAAGGCUGAAAAGUUGUAAAAUUCUUUUGCAGAUGAAGAAUAAGGAUAGGAGGGAAUGCCUAUCUGAUGACGGUAGUUCAUGCGAAUAAGCCCCG
Molecule: ribosomal RNA, 501 nt
Filed under: Treponema sp. canine oral taxon 207
Lineage: Bacteria; Pseudomonadati; Spirochaetota; Spirochaetia; Treponematales; Treponemataceae
Description: bacterial SSU rRNA
Rfam family: Bacterial small subunit ribosomal RNA
Source: RNAcentral